RNAcentral lists this ribosomal RNA (472 nucleotides) under uncultured bacterium. Its description in RNAcentral is "bacterial SSU rRNA". It matches the Rfam family "Bacterial small subunit ribosomal RNA", at positions 355 to 825 of the family's 1533-position model. The record is from RNAcentral.
UGGGGAAUUUUGGACAAUGGGGGCAACCCUGAUCCAGCAAUGCCGCGUGAGUGAAGAAGGCCUUCGGGUUGUAAAGCUCUUUUGUCAGGGAAGAAACGGUAGUAGCGAAUAACUAUUACUAAUGACGGUACCUGAAGAAUAAGCACCGGCUAACUACGUGCCAGCAGCCGCGGUAAUACGUAGGGUGCAAGCGUUAAUCGGAAUUACUGGGCGUAAAGCGUGCGCAGGCGGUUGUGUAAGUCAGAUGUGAAAUCCCCGGGCUCAACCUGGGAAUUGCAUUUGAGACUGCACGGCUAGAGUGUGUCAGAGGGGGGUAGAAUUCCACGUGUAGCAGUGAAAUGCGUAGAUAUGUGGAGAAAUACCGAUGGCGAAGGCAGCCCCCUGGGAUAACACUGACGCUCAUGCACGAAAGCGUGGGGAGCAAACAGGAUUAGAUACCCCUGUAGUCCCUGAGCGGGCUGGCAAGGCGCAU